CCGGAGACGUAGUCGGCGGCGGCGGCGAAGUCUGCGCUGCCCGCACCAGAGAUACGUGAUCGCGGCCGCGCGCGGCAAACCGUCGUCAUAAUAAUAAUAAUAAUAAUACCGCGCGCGCGGUCUUAGAAAACAAAUAAUAAUAAUAAAGUCGGAAGAACAUAUUAUUAUACGGGAGGAAUACGGGGUCGGGUAAAAAAAAGAGAGUUGCGAUUGACGGGGAGGGGGCGAGACGUGUUCCGACCGCGGCGGGGCGCAAACAACCGCGAUAAUGCCGAGAGACAGUGCGAGAGAGAGAGAGGACGGCGAGCGCAGAAAAAUAUAGUAGCCUAUGGUCGCGUCGUCGUCAUCGUCGUCGGCGGAUGAAAAAAAAAUAUAUAUAAUAAUAAUAAUAAUAAUAAUAUAUAUAUAUGAAAAAAAAAAUACGCGUAAAUAGAACAGGUUUCGCGUACAAAAUUCCCGUAUACAGGCAUCGGAUUUUUCUACGGACAGUACACCCAGACUCUUGGAAGUCCGUUGCCCAUCAUCGUCGUCGUCGGACAGACAUCACGAGACGACGUCUAUGUCUGAGAACAAAUAACAUAAUAACGACCGAGCGCGGUGCGACGUUCAAAGUUUAUAUUAUACGUGUACAAGCUCCCUGCCCGCCGGUGUGUCCCAU
Cinara cedri is the source of this 658-nucleotide non-coding RNA. Lineage: Eukaryota; Metazoa; Arthropoda; Insecta; Hemiptera; Aphididae. The record is from the annotation of a GenBank genome assembly.